GAGUUUGAUCGUGGCUCAGAUUGAACGCUGGCGGCAUGCCUUACACAUGCAAGUCGAGCGGCAGCGCGGGGGCAACCCUGGCGGCGAGCGGCGAACGGGUGAGUAAUACAUCGGAACGUGUCCUGUCGUGGGGGAUAACCAGUCGAAAGAUUGGCUAAUACCGCAUGACCUCGUAAGAGAAAAGCGGGGGACCGUAAGGCCUCGCGCGACUGGAGCGGCCGAUGUCGGAUUAGCUAGUUGGCGGGGUAAAAGCCCACCAAGGCGACGAUCCGUAGCUGGUUUGAGAGAACGACCAGCCACACUGGGACUGAGACACGGCCCAGACUCCUACGGGGGGCAGCAGUGGGGAAUUUUGGACAAUGGGGGCAACCCUGAUCCAGCCAUGCCGCGUGUGUGAAGAAGG
This 403-nucleotide ribosomal RNA is filed under the name uncultured beta proteobacterium. Its description in RNAcentral is "bacterial SSU rRNA". It matches the Rfam family "Bacterial small subunit ribosomal RNA", at positions 9 to 414 of the family's 1533-position model. The record is from RNAcentral. Lineage: Bacteria; Pseudomonadati; Pseudomonadota; Betaproteobacteria.